Long non-coding RNA from Ruditapes philippinarum (Manila clam), 359 nucleotides. RefSeq lists it as uncharacterized. Lineage: Eukaryota; Metazoa; Mollusca; Bivalvia; Venerida; Veneridae. The record is from RefSeq and is a predicted model, not a curated record. The transcript has 4 exons.
UUAAUUAUCAAGUUGCGCAUGUCAAUUAACUCUUUUCAUUUGAACGCUCUAGGAGAAUAAAUAACAAAUGCGUUUGUUUGACCUGGAAGAAAAUAAACAUUCCUAAAAAAUUUAGAAAACCUUUAACUGAUACAAUAGGAUGAAUAACCUGUGGGAUAUUGCAAUUGAGAAGUCACACAGAACCGAAGAUUCUGGAGCAACGUCAGCAGAAAAUGCACUCUUCCUUGUUGGAGGUAAAAAUGCUGGGAAGACUUCUAUCAUUAUGAGAUUUCUUGACAGGUAAAUCUUUUGAUUGAUGUAUAUGUUAAAUAUAUAAAUAACAUUACAGUUUAAUACUCAGGUGUGCUUACUUGAAAUAU